AAAAAAAAAACAGAUCAACCUUGAGGGAUCCCAUUCUGGGCAAUUCUCCCAAGUCAAGCAUUCUUAAGAAUUCUUAUUUUAAGAAUUAGAUUCAGCCAUAUUAUAUUCCAUAUUAUUAACUUUUCUUUCUAUCAUUUGUUUAUUAGUGCAUAGCAUUCAACUAUAUGCCAAACACAAGGCUAACAGAAGUAAAAGUAUAACAAGUACAGUCAGCAAAAAAGACCUGUAAGUAUAUAGGAAACUGUUUUUAAUGUUUUAGAACAAAAUUUACUAGUCUGAGUAUCAGUGUGCUGGGAUGUCUUUCUGAGGUUUGAAAGAUUAUUGCUGUGCCUACCGCUUGGGAGGAGGUGAUAUCCUUUGGUUGGUGCUCUGUCUCCAGCUUUCCUGGCCGAUAUCUCUGUCACUGACUAUGGUGAAAACACUGGGCAUGCUGAUGAAGCCUAAAAGUAACUUGAAGGAAGGCAAGUGAAUACAUUAGAUCAUAGAACUGGGAUUCAG
RNAcentral lists this long non-coding RNA (498 nucleotides) under Felis catus (domestic cat). RNAcentral's name for it is "lncRNA (ENSFCAG00000050878.1)". The record is from RNAcentral. Lineage: Eukaryota; Metazoa; Chordata; Mammalia; Carnivora; Felidae.